GCGGUAUCCAAUUGUUGUUAGUAAUUACUGUCUUGUCUCAUCGCUACAACUCCCGUACCGGCUCGGGAGAGACGAAGGUUAACACUCCAACCCGGAAGCCAGCCGCACCAAUUUCUCGGAGGAAACACCGUGCACCUGGCUACCUUGGUUAGCGCGCAUUGCGCCCGGCGAUGAGACAAGGAUUUCCCUACCGGCCAAACCCUCCCUAACCCGGACGACGCUAGACCGAUUGUGCGUCGCCCCAUGGACCUCCCGGUCACGGCUGGCUGCGACAGAGCCUGGGCGCGAACCCAGGGUCUCUGGUGGCACAGCUGGCGCUGCGAUGCAGUGCGCCAUCCGGGAGGCUCCGGAAAACGAGUUUUAAUGACUCCGACCUAAGUGUAUGUAAACUUCUGACUUCAACUGUACAUACUCUCUCAGCCAUUUUUCCCACUGGAUCAACACAUGCACGAUGUUGCAACACACAGGAAUGGGAGAACAUUUAGGUAUCAUGCAUGACCCUGAAGGAGAGCCCUGUGACAACAUGUUAACUAGAGAGCUCUCUGAUCCAAAGGCUCCGAAACCGGAAGUAUGUCAACAUUCCAGUACCGGAAGAUGGAAACUCAAAGAAAUUGUUAAUUGCAAGGGAGGAUGGUCGACACUAGACGGCAAUCCUGUGUAUAUUAAGACAGCGCGGACCCCGGCGUGAGAUAUAGCUCGGGAAAAGAACCUCAAUCCAGGAAUGAGAAAUGUGUUGUACUCCAAAUAGCACCAUAACCCAACUGUUACACUGAGAAGAUUGAACCACUGCUAUUUGCCGAUAACGUUAUCAACGUGAACGAGUUGUCAUAUUAUGUUUUUAAUCCUCUGCCUGGUAGCUAGCUAGCCCCUUAGUCUUGGGUUGCUAGCUAAAAUGUUAAUAUACCUGUGGUCCAUACCUACUGUACUUAGCUAUCCAAGGAUGAUACAUAUCAAACGUUACCACUUUAUUACCUACAAACGAGCUAAUAUAAAGUUAACGUUAGCUAGUUUGAAUAAUGAUUGACAAAAAGCUUUCAAAAUAGUAGGGGUUGCACUCUGAUCCCUUCAAUCAAGUCUAAAACUCCCCAAAGUAGUGGUUUGUCGAUUUUGGCAAACUUCCGACAGAUCAACAGGCCUUGCUGUUUUUGGAGCGAUCCUCAUGGCCCAGUUUGCAGACAUACAUGGCUUUGUGCAUUGUAUUGCUUGCCAGGAUACUCUUGAGUAGCUACUCUACUGUCUCAGACACCUGGCAGUACUCCUGUAGAAAGUGGUGAUGUUGUCGAUGAUGACUAAUUCACCUGCCUUGGAGAUGUGGCAGCAGCUAUUGUAGCCUACCUGGUUUGGGUACAUUUGUAAACUUAGCUUCUGGUUUGUUGAUCUUCAGGCUUUGAAUAGUACUGACUUGUCUGUUAAUUGUGUUGAAUAAGAACAAAACCAUUGCAAUUGAGACUUUCACCUCACAACCCGAGGGAAACUUUCACCUUGAUAUUAAAAUAAUGGAUUUGGGAUUGUGUUCAUUUGCUGUGUUUCAUUUGAUGAUGAACGUUUCAGUUCGAUAUGUCAUGCUGCUCAUGUGAUCGUGAAUACAGCCUGCUGUGUCCUGAAGCUUAUUGCAAAGUAGAUACAUUCCAUUGUCUUUUGGCUGUUCCGCAUCAGUGAAAAACAGGUUAGCAGGAAUGUGUUCUGUGUUUCUCAAUGUCAAUCAUCAGGGAAAAUGGCCAAUUUGGAUUAGGGCAAAGUUGAAACAUUUCAAACAGAAUGACCAUUGUUACCAAUUGAAAGAGAACACUUUGGAGAUUCAGACCAAAAGUGAGGGCAGAACAGUUCACCUGACACAAGACUGAAUCCAAACAUUACACGGUUGAUAUUAGUGCCUUAAUUUGUAUACAUGCAUAUUUACAGACUUUCCCACAUUUUGUUGUGUUACAGCCUGAAUUUAAAAUGUAUUAAAUUGAGAUUUGUCACUGGCCUACACACAAUGCCCCAACAUGUCAAAACUGUAUUUUACAUUUUUUAUUAAUAAAAAAAACAAACAACUGAAA
Molecule: long non-coding RNA, 2042 nt
Organism: Oncorhynchus tshawytscha (Chinook salmon)
Lineage: Eukaryota; Metazoa; Chordata; Actinopteri; Salmoniformes; Salmonidae
Source: Ensembl